RNAcentral lists this long non-coding RNA (3574 nucleotides) under Hordeum vulgare. RNAcentral describes it as "long non-coding RNA (HVUL_LNC018295)". The record is from RNAcentral. Lineage: Eukaryota; Viridiplantae; Streptophyta; Magnoliopsida; Poales; Poaceae.
UAUAUCAACAACCGGUCCUAAACUACCAUUUUCAUCUACCAGUGGGGUGAUUCCCGCUCAACAUCCUCAUGUACGCACGCCCUUCUUCUAAUCCCAUGGCUCCACUGUCAUUGUUUGUCAGGUUCAGGUUCAGUUAGGAAAGGGGUUAACAAGUUGGCAGGUAACUCCUUUUCAUCAAUGAGAGACGAGAGAAGCAAGGCCAAGGGAAGGUAAGCUUAAUACAGUUUUGGGUUCAGUUUGUCGCUCUGAAUCUUCAAUACAGAACCAGAGAACCUGACUCUUCCCCUUGAUUGUCGUACGUGUCGUUCUUUCGGGUACCCAUUACCCAACCCACCAUCUAGUCUAGCUAAUGCAGUAACUCUCUAAGCUGAACCUCCCCGCAAGAUUAGCUUACCAUCCGGUGCCAUGUCAUUUCCUGUAAUCUCAACUGAAGAACAAUGCAUCACUCGGCCUUAUUUUAUACUUCUACUAGUGAUUGUUCCAUGGAAUAAAAGCUUAAGCAAUACACCUGCAGGUUUUCUUAGGGUGAGUUCAAUCAGGUUCCCAUCUGACUCUGAGUAGUGGGUACUGACAGUGCUGCCUCUGUUGCUAAGCAGGUUCGCCUCCCUUGCUGGUUAUACCAGUGCUUAAGUCGUCAUCCUUUAUGGAUCAAUCAUAGGGAGCUCUGUGUCUUGUUAGUAUGUUGUCUUUGUUCUUUGUUCAGACUAACAGUGGGAUGCAAUUUUCUUGUCACUGUUUGAACAUCGCAUAUGCAUAUUUUUUACCAAAGCCUAUGCCUUGCAGGUGUUUUCACCGAGUUGAUUCAGGAGAUGCAAGUAAAAGGUGUACAGGUUAGCUUUGUCAUGCAAUGGUGUAAUUUAGCUAUACAACCUGUUAUCAGUUAGUUUUGAUAUUUAGUCAUGCAAUGGUGUAAAAUACUUGGUUGGAAUUGCUUGUUGAACUGUGCAGUUUAAGAAUAGACAUUUGUCUCCAUUUUUUCCUUCACGUGUUAGCUUUGUCAUAAGUCAAACUUCCUGAAGUUUAACCUGGUUUAUAAAAAAACAUGAGCAUUUACAAUACCAAAUCAAUACAUCUAGUGCCAUGGUGUAAAAUAUGUUCAUACUGUAAUUAUUUGAUGUAAUUUGUUUAUCUCCUACGUAAUUUGUUUGCCCUCCUCACGAGCGCUCCUCCCAAUUUCGUUUCUUUUUUCUUCUACUUCUUCUUGGUCUUCUUUUGCUUUUCUUUUCUAAACUCCCCCGCCCUCACGUAAUCUUUUGGGAAAAGGAAAAGGGAAUAAAUUUAAUGUGUGGGGAGGAUUAAAAAUGGGCAGGUAAGUGAGGCACGUCAGGGCCGCAUUUGUAAGGGUGUGCAUUAUUUGACCCCAGAGCUGGGCACUUAUUAUAUUUACUUUGUGACCUCCUCUGCUUUUGGCUUUAUCCAUCCUCUAUGUGUGUAUUUUUUUUUGCUCUUUUGCUGUUGUCUUUUUUUUCACUGUGCACAUGGACCUAACGCAAAGUCGUUCCCCUCCCUACCACCACAUGCCAACUGUCUAGCAAAGCAAAAAUAAAUUAGCUAUGGCAUGCAUUGCUUUGACCAGAGCGGCAUGUGUUUAAAAAAACCUCACCAAGUUCAUAUGUUAGCACCACAUCAAUACGUUUUUAAAAGAUUUCAACUAAUUUAAUAUUUUUAAUGAGAUUUGACCAGAAGCAAUUGUCUUAAAAACAUAUCCAAACAUAAUUGGAUUUUCUUUGACACGUUUUGACAAGAUUAACAUAUUUCAAAGGAAUUAUACUGUUUUCAAUGGAUCUUUUCCCCACUAAAUUAUACUCCCUCCGUUCCAAAAUAACUGUCUCAACUUUAUACUAUAUCUAGUAUAAAUUUAUACUAAGCUUAGGACAGUUAUUUUGGGACGGAGGGAGUACUAGAAAAUGGGCUGGACCCUGAAAAAUCACACAGCUAGUAGAUUCCACAUUGUUUUCUUGAUAUAAACCUGCAAUUUUUCAGUUGAAAAAGACGACCUGCCAAACAUUUCCACAAUAUUGAUCGUCCAAUAUCUACAAACAGCACCAAAGGUUACUUCUUAUAGUAGUACCAAUCAGAUACAAAAUUAAGAAAAUAAUGUACUGGUAGAAAGAAAUUAAAAUGUUGUUUAGUUAUAUCCCACGCAUCAUCCAUUGUAAACAGGACAACUCAUGCUGCUCUAUGUUUCCCUGCAUGCAUACCAUCUAUUAGUGGUUGUAUAUUGUGUAGACUAAAGGACUUGUAGUUACUCUAUAUUUCCCUGCAUGCAUACCAUCUAUUAGUAUAUUGUGUAGACUAAAGGACUUGUAGUCGAAAUAAAAUCAAUCAAGCUUUUACAAGAAUGACAACGCUAAUGGAAUGUAACAGCUAGAACGAAUUCAUAUUUUCACUCAGGUGCAAAUGGAGAUUUAACUUAAAUACAUAAAGGGACUCGGCCAAUGAUUAUACACAGAAGAUAUUUUAAAAAUACAGAAGCCACUAAAAAUGCUAGUACAUAAAAGAUGUCCAUUCAAUUACUUACCCAUUGUCUUGAACCUCAUCAGAUUCCUUGGUGGGGCUAACGUUCUCCUUGGAAGCAUUCUCAGGUGCAUCCAUAGAGGUAAUGGUGGCCCUGUCCCCUGUUCUUCUGUAGUCCCAUGUUCACCAUUCUCCUGUAUUUUGCACUAUUUGUCAUGCAUUUAUAUAUGGUUUCAUCAUAUCUAACGCACGGAACAAAGACCUUACUCUCGCAACACAGAACUGAGACCUCACAAUCACAGUACAUUUAGAAUUUGGAUAACUGGACUUAUUUACUAUGUCCUCAAUUGAUGCCUCCUUUUGCUUAAAUAAAUAGGUUGCUACUUCAUUGUUUAGUGGUGUAGCCUUUUACAGAAUUUAAAUGGUUUGUCCCCUGUAUUAUCACAUCUUUCCAGACUAUUAAACAUAUGCAUGCUGAUAAAACAACAUUUAACCCGAGUUAUCUUUGUCAAUAUUUGCUUAAAUAAAUAUAUCUCUGUAUAGACCUCGAAAUUGGUAUACCUCAGUGGUUGAACUUGCAUAAUGUGAUACUAAUACUAAUGUCUUCUCCUACUUGGAAGAAAUGGAUUAUUAAUUAUCAUGCUUAUAUUUAUGUUGCAAGAAAUGUUUGCCAAGUUGAAUUUGAAUAAUCAAAUUUUACCUUCUUGGUUGAAUUGUUUCCUCCACAUUGUUGAUCAUGUUGAAGGCCAUUGCUAUGGAUUUGUUUUCAGGAGAAGUAUGUUGGCGCGACACGGGUGAAUGGCUAGCUGGAGGAAAUGUAUUUGCUACUAUUUUUGCUAUAUUCCUGUGUAAGGAAAUGUAUCCAUGAGAUGAGAUAUUGUGUUAUGUAAACCUGGGAGAUGUAUUAUGUGAUGUUAUAUGAUGGAUGAUUUUAAUUCGACUUGGAGUUUUCUUGAUUUGAAUAUGAAGUAGUGCUGCAUUUAAUAUUGGACAAAUAAUUGGUUGAAAAGGCCCAAUAAAUAGAAAUGAGACCAAGUUCUCAAAAAAAAAUGCUGAAUUCAAAAAUGAAAAAAGGCCAAAACUAAAACUGGAUCAAAUGUAUUUGGGCAUGAAAAGG